This 497-nucleotide ribosomal RNA is filed under the name uncultured bacterium. RNAcentral's name for it is "partial 16S ribosomal RNA". It matches the Rfam family "Bacterial small subunit ribosomal RNA", at positions 28 to 507 of the family's 1533-position model. The record is from RNAcentral.
GAUGAACGCUGGCGGCGUGCCUAAUACAUGCAAGUCGAGCGAACGGACGAGAAGCUUGCUUUUCUGAUGUUAGCGGCAGACGGGUGAGUAACACGUGGAUAACCUACCUAUAAGACUGGGAUAACUUCGGGAAACCGGAGCUAAUACCGGAUAAUAUUUUGAACCGCAUGGUUCAAAAGUGAAAGACGGUCUUGCUGUCACUUAUAGAUGGAUCCGCGCUGCAUUAGCUAGUUGGUAAGGUAACGGCUUACCAAGGCAACGAUGCAUAGCCGACCUGAGAGGGUGAUCGGCCACACUGGAACUGAGACACGGUCCAGACUCCUACGGGAGGCAGCAGUAGGGAAUCUUCCGCAAUGGGCGAAAGCCUGACGGAGCAACGCCGCGUGAGUGAUGAAGGUCUUCGGAUCGUAAAACUCUGUUAUUAGGGAAGAACAUAUGUGUAAGUAACUGUGCACAUCUUGACGGUACCUAAUCAGAAAGCCACGGCUAACUACGUG